Molecule: ribosomal RNA, 1102 nt
Filed under: Staphylococcus aureus
Lineage: Bacteria; Bacillati; Bacillota; Bacilli; Caryophanales; Staphylococcaceae
Description: partial 23S ribosomal RNA
Rfam family: Bacterial large subunit ribosomal RNA
Source: RNAcentral
CUGGAAAGAUGAAUCAAAGAAGGUAAUAAUCCUGUAGUCGAAAAUGUUGUCUCUCUUGAGUGGAUCCUGAGUACGACGGAGCACGUGAAAUUCCGUCGGAAUCUGGGAGGACCAUCUCCUAAGGCUAAAUACUCUCUAGUGACCGAUAGUGAACCAGUACCGUGAGGGGAAGGUGAAAAGCACCCCGGAAGGGGAGUGAAAUAGAACCUGAAACCGUGUGCUUACAAGUAGUCAGAGCCCGUUAAUGGGUGAUGGCGUGCCUUUUGUAGAAUGAACCGGCGAGUUACGAUUUGAUGCAAGGUUAAGCAGUAAAUGUGGAGCCGUAGCGAAAGCGAGUCUGAAUAGGGCGUUUAGUAUUUGGUCGUAGACCCGAAACCAGGUGAUCUACCCUUGGUCAGGUUGAAGUUCAGGUAACACUGAAUGGAGGACCGAACCGACUUACGUUGAAAAGUGAGCGGAUGAACUGAGGGUAGCGGAGAAAUUCCAAUCGAACCUGGAGAUAGCUGGUUCUCUCCGAAAUAGCUUUAGGGCUAGCCUCAAGUGAUGAUUAUUGGAGGUAGAGCACUGUUUGGACGAGGGGCCCCUCUCGGGUUACCGAAUUCAGACAAACUCCGAAUGCCAAUUAAUUUAACUUGGGAGUCAGAACAUGGGUGAUAAGGUCCGUGUUCGAAAGGGAAACAGCCCAGACCACCAGCUAAGGUCCCAAAAUAUAUGUUAAGUGGAAAAGGAUGUGGCGUUGCCCAGACAACUAGGAUGUUGGCUUAGAAGCAGCCAUCAUUUAAAGAGUGCGUAAUAGCUCACUAGUCGAGUGACACUGCGCCGAAAAUGUACCGGGGCUAAACAUAUUACCGAAGCUGUGGAUUGUCCUUUGGACAAUGGUAGGAGAGCGUUCUAAGGGCGUUGAAGCAUGAUCGUAAGGACAUGUGGAGCGCUUAGAAGUGAGAAUGCCGGUGUGAGUAGCGAAAGACGGGUGAGAAUCCCGUCCACCGAUUGACUAAGGUUUCCAGAGGAAGGCUCGUCCGCUCUGGGUUAGUCGGGUCCUAAGCUGAGGCCGACAGGCGUAGGCGAUGGAUAACAGGUUGAUAUUCCUGUACCACCUAUA